This 372-nucleotide ribosomal RNA is filed under the name uncultured bacterium. RNAcentral describes it as "bacterial SSU rRNA". It matches the Rfam family "Bacterial small subunit ribosomal RNA", at positions 525 to 896 of the family's 1533-position model. The record is from RNAcentral.
ACAGAGGGUGCAAACGUUGUUCGGAAUUACUGGGCAUAAAGCGUACGUAGGCGGCGCGUCAAGUGCGGGGUGAAAGCCCACGGCUUACCCGUGGAACAGCUUUGCAUACUGACGUGCUGGAGUGCGGUAGAGGAGAGCGGAACUCUUGGUGGAGCGGUGAAAUGCGUAGAUAUCAAGAGGAACACCGAAGGCGAAGGCAGCUCUCUGGGCCGUUACUGACGCUGAGGUACGAAAGCCAGGGGAUCAAACGGGAUUAGAUACCCCGGUAGUCCUGGCUGUAAACGAUGGGCACUAGCUGGCGGGUCUCCUGUGGAAUCGCCGGCGAAGCAAAUGUGAUAAGUGCCCCGCCUGGGAAGUAUGGUCGCAAGGCUG